UACUUCGGAUUGUAAAGCACUUUAAGUUGGGAGGUAGGGGCAUUUACCUAAUACGUUAAGUGGUUUUGACGUUACCGACACGAAUAAGCACCGGCCUAACUCUGUGC
This 107-nucleotide ribosomal RNA is filed under the name uncultured bacterium. Its description in RNAcentral is "partial 16S ribosomal RNA". The record is from RNAcentral.